GACGAACGCUGGCGGCGUGCUUAACACAUGCAAGUCGUACGGGAAGGCCCUUUCGGGGGUACACGAGUGGCGCACGGGUGAGUAACACGUGAGUAACCUGCCCACAACUUUGGGAUAACGCUAGGAAACUGGUGCUAAUACUGGAUAUGUGCUCCUGCUGCAUGGUGGGGGUUGGAAAGCUCCGGCGGUUGUGGAUGGACUCGCGGCCUAUCAGCUUGUUGGUGGGGUAGUGGCCUACCAAGGCGGCGACGGGUAGCCGGCCUGAGAGGGUGACCGGCCACAUUGGGGCUGAGAUACGGACCAGACUCCUACGGGAGGCAGCAGUGGGGAAUAUUGCAAAAUGGGCGCAAGCCUGAUGCAGCAACGACGCGGGCGGGAUGACGGCAUUCGGGUUGUAACCCGCUUUCAGCAGGGACGAAGCUUUUUGUGACGGUACCUGGAGAAGAAGCACCGGCUAACUACGUG
RNAcentral lists this ribosomal RNA (465 nucleotides) under uncultured bacterium. RNAcentral describes it as "partial 16S ribosomal RNA". It matches the Rfam family "Bacterial small subunit ribosomal RNA", at positions 28 to 507 of the family's 1533-position model. The record is from RNAcentral.